Molecule: non-coding RNA, 79 nt
Organism: Desmophyllum pertusum
Lineage: Eukaryota; Metazoa; Cnidaria; Anthozoa; Scleractinia; Caryophylliidae
Source: the annotation of a GenBank genome assembly
GUCUCCCUGUAGCUCAGUGGUUAGAGCAUCUGGCCAGUGUGCGGAAGGAAGGCCAUGGGUUUGACUUCCGUCGGGGACU